This 594-nucleotide ribosomal RNA is filed under the name Psilolechia leprosa. Its description in RNAcentral is "eukaryotic LSU rRNA". The stretch from base 237 to 390 matches the Rfam family "5.8S ribosomal RNA". Lineage: Eukaryota; Fungi; Ascomycota; Lecanoromycetes; Lecanorales; Psilolechiaceae. The record is from RNAcentral.
UAACAAGGUUUCCGUAGGUGAACCUGCGGAAGGAUCAUUAAUGAGCGAGGGGCCUCGUGCUCCCGGGGGCUUCGGCCCCCACUCCUCACCCUUUGUAUACAUACCUUUGUUGCUUUGGCGGGCCUUGGGGACCUCCCCAUGCCGGCUCCGGGCUUCGGUCCCGCCGGCGAGCCGCCCGCCCGAGGCCUAUCAAAUUCCGUUUUAUCAGUGUUGUCCGAGUCAGAUAUAACAAUCAAAACUUUCAACAACGGAUCUCUUGGUUCUGGCAUCGAUGAAGAACGCAGCGAAAUGCGAUAAGUAAUGUGAAUUGCAGAAUUCAGUGAAUCAUCGAAUCUUUGAACGCACAUUGCGCCCCUCGGUAUUCCGGGGGGCAUGCCUGUUCGAGCGUCAUUGCACCCCUCAAGCGUAGCUUGGUGUUGGGCCAUCGCCCCCGCGGCGUGCCCGAAAAGCAGUGGCGGUCCGGUGCGACUUCAAGCGUAGUAAUUAUCAUCCCGCUUUGGAAGCCUCGCCCCGUGGCCUGCCAGACAACCCCCCAUAUACUUCAAUGAUUGACCUCGGAUCAGGUAGGGAUACCCGCUGAACUUAAGCAUAUCA